Molecule: long non-coding RNA, 432 nt
Organism: Vigna radiata var. radiata (mung bean)
Lineage: Eukaryota; Viridiplantae; Streptophyta; Magnoliopsida; Fabales; Fabaceae
Exons: 2
Source: RefSeq, a predicted model, not a curated record
UUUCUGUCAAGUUUUUAGAAAAGAAAAACUGAAACCCAUUUUAUCAAUAACGUUCCUCUCUCUAGAACUCCAAACCCUUACUUUCUCUGCCUUUUCUCUAACCUCCUCACUCACUGAGCUAUUGCAUGUUGGAUUAGGUGGUGCUCAAGUGACCGCGGCGUAGAGAGCUUCGCAAACAUCCAAUUAGAUUUUCGAUCUUCACCGAUGGGAGCAGAUGUUCUUGAGGAGGUUCCAGUGGAACAAGUGCUGGGAGACGCUGACGCUGCGACUUAGUUCUUUUUAGGAUUUCAUUUAGUUAUUUUUAUGUUAUUUGGAGACGCUUAUUAGAUUAUUUUGAAAUACUUUAUUGUGGUUAAGAGUUUUAAUUACACCACUCUGGAUGACUGUAAUCCUCUGAUUAAUCGUAAGUUAUACCCCUAGCUGUUCUCUUUA